AUGAGCUUGCAGAGGGCCUCGCUGCAAAAGGGCCGGCAGGCAGAGAGCCGCCGGGAAGCCGCAGCCUCGCGCAUCGCCAAGAACCUCCGCCGCCAGAUGGGCCAGGGCCACAUCGAAGGAUGGGGAGGGAGGACGCCACAGUCGCUGGGCAACGAUCCCUCCGCAAGGCACCGCGACACCAACGCCGCCGCAGCAGCCGCGCGCCACGCCGCCUGGUCGGGCUCCGCCAGGGGAAGCCGCCGUCGAGGGGAGCGCCAGAUCCGCCUCCAACUUCUUCCGCCGCCAGACGAAAGAAGAGGAAGAGGAAGACCCCGCCGCCGCCCGGGCUUAGCCCGGCGGCCUCCUCCGGCGAUGGCGAGGGGAAAGGGGGGCGAGCGGGGGCGGCCCGGCGGCGCGGACGAGGGGCUCAUAGCCAUGACCAUGCAUGCAGCUGCAGCUAAUUGA
This 444-nucleotide ribosomal RNA is filed under the name Triticum aestivum (bread wheat). RNAcentral's name for it is "partial small subunit ribosomal RNA". Lineage: Eukaryota; Viridiplantae; Streptophyta; Magnoliopsida; Poales; Poaceae. The record is from RNAcentral.